Molecule: non-coding RNA, 426 nt
Organism: Microcebus murinus (gray mouse lemur)
Lineage: Eukaryota; Metazoa; Chordata; Mammalia; Primates; Cheirogaleidae
Source: RefSeq, a predicted model, not a curated record
GGCAGUUCCUCAGGAUAUGAUUGAGGGUGGGGCAACACCAAAAUGGAGUGCCCACCCUUAUUCUUCUUCCCAGGUGAAACAAUUGCUCUAAAUAGCACCAAAACAAGGAACCCUUGUGCGGAGAAGAGCAGAAGAUCCUAUCUACCUAACAAUUCUACCUUGAAUCUACUUGAAAUUACUGCUCUGCAGUCAGGAGUUACUACAAUAUAUUGCUUCUCAAAAGUGAUGACACAUUGGAUAGACAGAUGAUCUAAAUAAAGCUUUUCUUAUUGAGAAUUGUGACAUUGCAUUUUUUUCAAAGAGGUAGAAAAGGAAAAAUCUGACCUGGUAUGUAUAUGGGCUCUUUUUCUUUUGAGCAUGUAAUCUUCAAUGUACUCCUUUAGUGUAACCAUUCCCAUGAUUAAAACAAAACAAACACUAAAUUGA